UACGAAGGGGGCUAGCGUUGCUCGGAAUUACUGGGCGUAAAGGGCGCGUAGGCGGACAGUUUAGUCAGAGGUGAAAGCCCAGGGCUCAACCCUGGAAUUGCCUUUGAUACUGACUGUCUUGAGGUACGGGAGAGGUGUGUGGAACUCCGAGUGUAGAGGUGAAAUUCGUAGAUAUUCGGAAGAACACCAGUGGCGAAGGCGACACACUGGCCCGUUACUGACGCUGAGGCGCGAAAGCGUGGGGAGCAAACAGG
This 254-nucleotide ribosomal RNA is filed under the name uncultured bacterium. RNAcentral's name for it is "partial 16S ribosomal RNA". It matches the Rfam family "Bacterial small subunit ribosomal RNA", at positions 524 to 776 of the family's 1533-position model. The record is from RNAcentral.